Molecule: non-coding RNA, 262 nt
Organism: Chlorocebus sabaeus (green monkey)
Lineage: Eukaryota; Metazoa; Chordata; Mammalia; Primates; Cercopithecidae
Rfam family: Metazoan signal recognition particle RNA
About the family: The signal recognition particle (SRP) is a universally conserved ribonucleoprotein. It is involved in the co-translational targeting of proteins to membranes. The eukaryotic SRP consists of a 300-nucleotide 7S RNA and six proteins: SRPs 72, 68, 54, 19, 14, and 9.
Source: Rfam
GCCGGGCGCGGUGGCUCAAGCCUGUAAUCCCAGCACUUUGGGAGGCCGAGACAGGCGGAUCAUGAGGUCAGGAGAUCGAGACCAUCCUGGCUAACACGGUGAAACCCCGUCUCUACUAAACAUACAAAAAACUANNNNNNNNNNAGUGCUGGACCAGGCAGAUAUUCUCUUUUUUUUUUUUUUUUUUUUUAGUAGAGACGGGGUUUCACCGUGUUAGCCAGGAUGGUCUCGAUCUCCUGACCUCAUGAUCCGCCUGUCUCAG